RNAcentral lists this ribosomal RNA (1505 nucleotides) under uncultured bacterium. RNAcentral describes it as "partial 16S ribosomal RNA". It matches the Rfam family "Bacterial small subunit ribosomal RNA". The record is from RNAcentral.
UAGAGUUUGAUCCUGGCUCAGAACGAACGCUGGUGGCGUGCCUAACACAUGCAAGUCGAACGAGAAAGGGGCAACCUGAGUAAAGUGGCGCACGGGUGAGUAACGCGUAGAUAAUCUACCUUAUUGAGCGGGAUAACACUGGGAAACUGGUGCUAAUACUGCAUAAUAUCUUUAUAUUAAUUUAUAAAGAUCAAAGGGUGCCCUCUGAAUAUGGUACCGCAAUAAGAUGAGUCUGCGUUCCAUCAGGUAGUUGGUAGGGUAAAGGCCUACCAAGCCGAAGACGGAUAACUGGUCUGAGAGGAUGAUCAGUCACACUGGAACUGAGACACGGUCCAGACUCCUACGGGAGGCAGCAGUGGGGAAUAUUGCGCAAUGGGGGAAACCCUGACGCAGCAACGCCGUGUGAGUGAUGAAGGCCUUUGGGUUGUAAAGCUCUGUCAGCGAGGAAAAAAGGCAUGGCAUCGAAUAGGUGUUAUGGAUGAUGGUACUCGCAAAGGAAGCACCGGCUAACUUCGUGCCAGCAGCCGCGGUAAUACGAAGGGUGCGAGCGUUGUUCGGAAUCAUUGGGCGUAAAGAGCGCGUAGGCGGGUAGUUAAGUCAGUAGUGAAAUCCUGUGGCUUAACCACAGAAGUGCUAUUGAAACUGGCUAUCUAGAGUAUUUUAGGGGAGAGCGGAAUUCCUAGUGUAGAGGUGAAAUUCGUAGAUAUUAGGAGGAACACCUGACGCGAAGGCGGCUCUCUGGGAAUAACUGACGCUAAGGCGCGAAAGCGUGGGAGCAAACAGGAUUAGAUAUCCUGGUAGUCCACGCCGUAAACGAUGGAUACUAGUUGUUAUUUACUAUAAGUAAGUAGUGACGAAGGAAACCCGAUAAGUAUCCCGCCUGGGAAGUACGGUCGCAAGAUUAAAACUCAAAGAAAUUGACGGGGACCCGCACAAGCGGUGGAGCAUGUGGUUUAAUUCGAGGCAACGCGAAGAACCUUACCUGGCCUUGACAUUAUGUGAAGGUAUCAGAAAUGGUACUGUUCGUAGCAAUACGACACAUGGACAGGUGCUGCAUGGCUGUCGUCAGCUCGUGUCGUGAGAUGUUGGGUUAAGUCCCGCAACGAGCGCAACCCUUGCUUUUAGUAGCCAAUAUUAAGUUAGGCACCCUAGAAGGACUGCCGGUGUUAAACCGGAGGAAGGUGGGGAUGACGUCAAGUCCUCAUGGCCCUUAUGGCCAGGGCUACACACGUGCUACAAUGGGGUCUACAAAGGGAAGCGAAGGGGUGACCUGGAGCCAAUCUCAAAAAAGGCUCCUCAGUUCAGAUUGUAGUCUGCAACUCGACUACAUGAAGUCGGAAUCGCUAGUAAUCGCGGAUCAGAAUGCCGCGGUGAAUACGUUCCCGGGUCUUGUACACACCGCCCGUCACACCACGAGAAUUGGUCUAUCCAGAAGUCACUGUGCUAACCCGAAAGGGAGGUAAGUGCCCAAGGAUUGGCUAGUGAUUGGGGUGAAGUCGUAACAA